UUUCCUAAGCCUGAUGACGAAUUACAACGCCUGUAUACAAGCGCUUUCUUUGAGAGAGGAUCUAUGUGAACCAUAUUUUAUCUUGAAUUUGUUUAUAGCCAUGGGAGAGUAAGUUACCAAAUGCAAGGAAGGAGGAAGAAAACCAUCCCACUUUCAAGAAAGAACUGAAAUGUUAUUUCAACUCCCUUGAAGGACUGAACAUGUUGCAUAUUGUUAUACGCGUGCAUUCAAAAUGCGUAAAUAAGCAGUACGCAUGGGAAAGAGAGAGAAAACGUUUGCUAUACUACGCAUUCAAAAUGCGUAAAUAAGCAGUACGCAUGGGAAAGAGAGAGAAAACGUUUGCUAUACUACGCAUUCAAAAUGCGUAAUGAAACAGUACGCAUAGGAAAAAAGAAAACGCGUUUCUUUUGUUACGCAUUCAAAAUGCGUAAUGAAUCAGUACGUAUUGGGGAAAAAAAGAACACAUUCAUUGUGUACGCAUUCUGAAGGCAUCGGAAAAGGACUACCAGUGCUGACAGGCACAACAUACGGUAUAGCAAGUCAAUGAUGUGUAGCAUUAUGAAAAUGAUUGAUCCAACAGCUUGCAGUAGGCCUAAACCACCCAUCAGGUAUUCUGUUGCUUUACAUAAGGUGGCGCUUAUCAUCCAGCGCGCGUCAGUUCACAUGAUGCCUGCCUUACAAAGGCAAAGACAAGUAGCAUAACUAAACUAACAUUGAAUCUCAGAGAGAGAGAGAGAGAGAGAGAGAGAGAGAGAGAGAGAGAGAGAGAGAGAGAGAGAGAGAGACUAUUCAUAUCUGAAACUGGACACAUUUGGAACUUGGCUUCAUCACAAGACUUUUUCUUAUUUCUUGGAGUGUUGACGCAGGACCUGGGAGGACUUCAGAGGGGCCCCAGCAUACCAGUUUGAUACCACACCAGUGGUGCCUUCUCCAAGCUUCCAUCGCCCCCGAUGUCAUCAUCCUCAUCGUCGUCUCCACCUCUUCAGCUUUUUCUUUUUUUUUAAAAGAACCCCCACCCCUUAAUUCACUAAAACAGCGCUACAUUGUUUACAAGCUGUCCCCAAUAUACUGUAUAUUACUGAAGUAAUAUCUUAAUUCAAUUACAACACAGUGGUAAACACACAAGUUAUCAGUCAUACAUAUCUCCUCCACUGUUCAGAUUCAAAGCAUUCUCCUAUGGUUGUCGAUUCAAUGUGCCAUGAACCUUCCAUUUCCUCUUCACUAAUGCGUUAAAGGCCACAGUAUGAAUGUAACAUGUACCAUGGGGAGCAUUCCAAUAUGCAGACUUCCUUGCUCACUUGCCCGCUUGUGACCUUACGUAUGAUGAAGUCAAAGACGACAGAAAAUGUAUUCAAUGUCUUGCAAAAUGCACAAUUCUAAUGUAAUUUCAUCGUUUGGAAUUGGGAUGGUGAAUGAAGAACAGUCGUCCCCCCCCCCCAAAAAAAUGUUGUGGCUACGCUGACGGCAGGAAAGCCUUGUUUUCUCUACGGAGACAGGGCGUCAGCAAAACACGAGGCCACAAGCACAAGUGGAGGAUGGAAGUCUGCAUGUUAGAAUACACUCCUAGUCUGAAUUGGCCUGAGGUGAUGUCAGAGGGAGAAAGUUUGUUCGUACCGAGUUUGUUGGUGAUGAAGGAGUGAUGCUUUUGCUCUGCAGCGGGCAUGCACAUUUUGCCAGUUUGAUGCAUUCUGGUAAUCAGUGCACAUGCACGCUGCAUAGCACAAGCACCACUGCAUCAUCACGAAAGAACCCACCGUCUGGGUGACAAAACAAGUGGAAUGGAGUGCUGUGAUCUGAGGACUAAAUUUCAGUUCACUUUCUCUCUGCUGAAAAAGCACAAGCAAGGGUAGCAAGGCAGCUAUCACCUAAAGCCACCAGACUUUGUACACCGCAUACAUGCAUUGUGUGAUGUAAUAAAAGGACCCACGCCA
Molecule: long non-coding RNA, 1931 nt
Organism: Engraulis encrasicolus (European anchovy)
Lineage: Eukaryota; Metazoa; Chordata; Actinopteri; Clupeiformes; Engraulidae
Exons: 2
Source: RefSeq, a predicted model, not a curated record